Molecule: ribosomal RNA, 510 nt
Filed under: uncultured bacterium
Lineage: Bacteria
Description: bacterial SSU rRNA
Rfam family: Bacterial small subunit ribosomal RNA
Source: RNAcentral
GAUUCUGGCUCAGGAUGAACGCUAGCUACAGGCUUAACACAUGCAAGUCGAGGGGCAGCAUUGGAGUAGCAAUACUCAGAUGGCGACCGGCGCACGGGUGAGUAACACGUAUCCAACCUGCCGCUUACUCGGGGAUAGCCUUUCGAAAGAAAGAUUAAUACCCGAUGGUAUAAAGAGUUCGCAUGUUCUCUUUAUUAAAGAAUUUCGGUAAGCGAUGGGGAUGCGUUCCAUUAGAUAGUUGGCGGGGUAACGGCCCACCAAGUCUACGAUGGAUAGGGGUUCUGAGAGGAAGGUCCCCCACAUUGGAACUGAGACACGGUCCAAACUCCUACGGGAGGCAGCAGUGAGGAAUAUUGGUCAAUGGACGAGAGUCUGAACCAGCCAAGUAGCGUGAAGGAUGACUGCCCUAUGGGUUGUAAACUUCUUUUAUAAGGGAAUAAAGCGAGGGACGUGUCCCUUUUUGUAUGUACCUUAUGAAUAAGGAUCGGCUAACUCCGUGCCAGCAGCUGC